This is a long non-coding RNA of Herpailurus yagouaroundi (jaguarundi), 1107 nucleotides long. RefSeq lists it as uncharacterized. Lineage: Eukaryota; Metazoa; Chordata; Mammalia; Carnivora; Felidae. The record is from RefSeq and is a predicted model, not a curated record. The transcript has 3 exons.
AGUGGAAAGGUCAAGUGGGCCCACGGAGGUGUGCUCCCAGGGCUCAGUGACAGCACAGGGCCACAGAGGAGGGAUGUCAGAAGCUUCUGCAUGGAGGUGAGGUGUGAAAGCAUAGCAACAGUGGGGUGUCCGUGCAGCCGGCAUUUAGCAAGAGCCCCUCCUGUGUGUGCAGCUUGUUCAUCACUGUCAUUGCAUUGAAUCCGUACGCAGCAUCGCAAAGGCAGCGUUAACCCCGUUUGCUAGAGACGGAGCUCGGAGUGGCUGACGGGCCUCCUAACGUCACAUCACUUGGAAGUGACAGCACCGAAGUUCCAGCACGGGCCACCCGAUGCUUGUGACUGCCUUUUCUACUACCCUGCCCUUCCUCUCUGAGGAAGACGACGUAGGGAGAGAAAGGUGGAAGGUUCUAAGACCUUAGCUUUGGUGAUGGUGUCAUGGAGGCUGGUGAUGGCGUGGGGCUCAAGGAAUUGCCCACGCACCUGCCAGCGCGGCAGCCUGGGAACGGACGAAUCCUUGCCCCAAAGGCAGGGCUGUGCCUGUCAGAACCACGCAGCAAGCUCUUUUCUCCAUGGCCACUGAGAAUGAGCUAAUUUCUUCCCAUAGUGCUGUUGCAUUUAUCAUAAAGUCCAUUUGGCUAUCAUCUGUCGUAAAUAAGUAGGUUGCUAAAGCAAAGGGACAGAUCCUCUAAAUUUAUAAUCCCAGUAGUGGUUUGUAAACAGUUCAAACACGCGGAACGCCUGGUGGCUCAGUCGGUUACGUCUGACUCUUGAUCUCGGCUCGGGUCACGAUCUCACGGUUCGUGGACUCGAGCCCCACAUCGGGCUCUGCGCUGACAAAGCAGAGCGGAGCCUCCUUGGGAUUCCCUCCCUCCCUCUCGCUCUCUGCCCCUCCCCCACUCACGCGUGCAUGCACACCUGCGCUCUGAAAAAAUAAGCGCACAAACGUUAAAAAAAAAAAUGAAAAAAAAAAUAGUUCAAAUGCAGAGCGGAAGACAUUUGAGUCCUUAUCCCAAUGGCGCUAACAUGAAUGUGCUCGAUUAUAUAUUUGCAUAUAAUUCAGUCAUCGGCCGGUUCCUUCCCCGAAAGAGCGUCGUGUAGAGAAAGAGUG